CUGGAGCAGUGGAACACCAAGGUCUGGAGCAGUGGAACACCAAGGUCUGGAGCAGUGGAACACCAAGGUCUGGAGCAGUGGAACACCAAUGUCUGGAGCAGUAGAACACCAAGGUCUGGAGCAGUAGAACACCAAGGUCUGGAGCAGUGGAACACCAAGGUCUGGAGCAGUAGAACACCUAGGUCUGGAGCAGUGGAACACCUAGGUCUGGAGCAGUGGAACACCAAGGUCUGGAGCAGUAGAACACCAAGGUCUGGAGCAGUGGAACACCAAGGUCUGGAGCAGUGGAACACCAAGGUCUGGAGCAGUAGAACACCUAGGUCUGGAGCAGUGGAACACCAAGGUCUGGAGCAGUGGAACACCAAGGUCUGGAGCAGUGGAACACCUAGGUCUGGAGCAGUGGAACACCAAGGUCUGGAGCAGUAGAACACCAAGGUCUGGAGCAGUGGAACACCAAGGUCUGGAGCAGUGGAACACCAAGGUCUGGAGCCGUGGAACACCAAGGUCUGGAGCAGUGGAACACCAAGGUCUGGAGCAGUAGAACACCUAGGUCUGGAGCAGUGGAACACCUAGGUCUGGAGCAGUGGAACACCAAGGUCUGGAGCAGUGGAACACCAAGGUCUGGAGCAGUAGAACACCUAGGUCUGGAGCAGUGGAACACCAAGGUCUGGAGCAGUAGAACACCUAGGUCUGGAGCUCGGGACAGAUAGACACUGCCA
Molecule: long non-coding RNA, 719 nt
Filed under: Salmo salar (Atlantic salmon)
Lineage: Eukaryota; Metazoa; Chordata; Actinopteri; Salmoniformes; Salmonidae
Description: lncRNA (ENSSSAG00000109436.1)
Source: RNAcentral